This 446-nucleotide ribosomal RNA is filed under the name uncultured bacterium. Its description in RNAcentral is "partial 16S ribosomal RNA". It matches the Rfam family "Bacterial small subunit ribosomal RNA", at positions 29 to 523 of the family's 1533-position model. The record is from RNAcentral.
AGCGAACGCUGGCGGCAGGCUUAACACAUGCAAGUCGAACGGUCCUUCGGGAUAGUGGCGGACGGGUGAGUAACACGUGGGAACGUACCCUUAGGUUCGGAACAACACAGGGAAACUUGUGCUAAUACCGGAUAAGCCCUUCGGGGGAAAGAUUUAUCGCCUUUGGAGCGGCCCGCGUCUGAUUAGCUUGUUGGUGAGGUAAUGGCUCACCAAGGCUACGAUCAGUAGCUGGUCUGAGAGGAUGGCCAGCCACACUGGGACUGAGACACGGCCCAGACUCCUACGGGAGGCAGCAGUGGGGAAUCUUGCGCAAUGGGCGAAAGCCUGACGCAGCCAUGCCGCGUGGAUGAUAAGGUCUUAGGAUUGUAAAAUCCUUUCACCGGGGACGAUAAUGACGGUACCCGGAGAAGAAGCCCCGGCUAACUUCGUGCCAGCAGCCGCGGUAA